This 301-nucleotide ribosomal RNA is filed under the name uncultured bacterium. RNAcentral's name for it is "partial 16S ribosomal RNA". It matches the Rfam family "Bacterial small subunit ribosomal RNA", at positions 509 to 808 of the family's 1533-position model. The record is from RNAcentral.
CAGCCGCCGCGGUAAUACGGAGGGUGCGAGCGUUAAUCGGAAUUACUGGGCGUAAAGCGUACGCAGGCGGUUUGUUAAGUCAGAUGUGAAAUCCCCGAGCUUAACUCGGGAACUGCAUUUGAAACUGGCAGGCUAGAGUCUCGUAGAGGGGGGUAGAAUUCCAGGUGUAGCGGUGAAAUGCGUAGAGAUCUGGAGGAAUACCGGUGGCGAAGGCGGCCCCCUGGACGAAGACUGACGCUCAGGUACGAAAGCGUGGGGAGCAAACAGGAUUAGAUACCCGCGUAGUCCCUGUCUCUUAACA